Molecule: RNA transcript, 14828 nt
Organism: Varanus komodoensis (Komodo dragon)
Lineage: Eukaryota; Metazoa; Chordata; Lepidosauria; Squamata; Varanidae
Gene: ADCY1
Gene name: adenylate cyclase 1
Exons: 22
Source: RefSeq, a predicted model, not a curated record
UCUACCCCCACCCUCCCCAGCGAAAAUGCUCUUGGACGUAGGAAGGGGAUCACCCUCUCUCUCCCAGUCUCCUAAUUUCCCCUCUGCUUCUCUCCCCUGGCUUCUUAUCUUUGCCUUCCUUGGAAUCCUCCCUGUUCCGCCUGGCCUACCCCACCGCCCUUUCUUUUUUUUUCGGAGGGGUGUCCGGGCAAUUAAAGUGCUACCGGUGGGAGGGCUGAAAUGUUUUGCUUUUUCCCAUUCCCUAGGAAACCGCGUGUGAGUCUCUUUGCCGCCCACCGCAGCCCCCAAGCCCCGAAAUGUCCUUGUCUGAAGCUAGACCAGCCUGUUGAGCGGCUCUUUGCGUUGUCUCUGUCCUUUGUCUCCCUCGCCCCCUCCUUUUAUUUACUUGCUUGCUUAUUUAUUUAUUUUCUCUCUGCGACGAGAGAAACCUUUGGGAGGCAUUAGGAGAUUACCAUCCCUGGAGGAUUUUUAACCCAGAGGGAAGGGUGCGUUGUGCGUGCGCGAGGGGCAGAGUCUCCGUCUGAGCCGUACGGGCAGCGGCCAGCAAGCCAGAGCAGGAGAGGCAAGAGAGGCGCAGGGCACGAAGCCGGGAAACAACACAGAAACAAGAAUUCUCGAGCCGCACGAGAGUGACUUUGCGCUCCCCUCCGCGCCUCCGGCCGCUUGAGAGUGCCUCGUCUGAGGGUCUGUCAGGAGACUUCGUCUUCUCCGUCGUCGUCGUCUCCCUGCUCCUCUCCUCCUCCUCUCAGAAGACUUCUCUGCCGCUGUUGCUCUUGCGUGUGGCGGCGGCGGCUUCGCUCGCGAGUUGGCUCAGGUUACUGCUGCUCUCUUUUGCGCUGGCUUUUGCAGUCGGGAGAGCUGCAUUGCUGCUGCUCCCGCCGCCGGCGUUUUCCCGCGUUUGCUCGCCGCUGCCCCUGGCUUCUCUCAUGAGCAGAGGGAGAGGCGCAGCAGCGACCGAGGCAGCGGAGGCGCUCUCCUUCUCCGGGGUUUAUGAAUGGCCCUGACAUGGAGGAAAUACCAUUUCAGAAAGUCAAGAAGAGCAAGAAGGCGAGGAGGAAGAAGUGCUGCCGCUACUGCUGCUGCUCCUCCUCUCCCGGGCCGCCGCCGCAGCCGCCACCACCUCCGCCGGCCGCCGGCAGUAGCGGCGGCGCCUCCGGAGCGGCGGCGGCGGGAGCCGGCGGCGGCGGCGGAGGAGGAGGGGGCCCCCCUCCGCUGCCGCUGCUGGACGCCGUCGCCUGCGAGGACCAGUUCGACUGCAAGGAGCUGGAGUCGCUCUUCCAGAACUACAACCUGAAGCUGGAGCAGACGUCGACGCUGAAAGCGCUGGCCGUGCUCAUCGUGCUGACGGCCAGCCUGGCGCUGGUGGAGCUGCUGUCGGGGCCCAGCCUGACCAUCUCCAAGGGCUCCCACCCGGUGCACUGCAUCAUCUUCCUCUCCCUCUUCAUCGUCACCAACGUCAAGUACCUGCAGGUGACCCAGCUGCAGCAGAUCGUCAAGCUCACCUUGCUGUUCAGCUUCACCUUCGCCUUCCUCUGCUGCCCUUUCUCCCUGGGCACCUACGGCAUGGAGCCCCCCAGCGCCCCCGAGCAGGGCAUGUGGCAGCUUAUGCUGGUCACCUUCGUCUCCUACGCCCUCCUGCCCGUCCGCACCCUCCUGGCCAUCGUCUUCGGCUUGGUGGUGGCCAUCUCCCAUCUCAUCGUGGCCGCCGCCUCGGUCAGUGCCCGGAGGCAGCCCUUGUGGAGGACGCUUGUGGCCAAUGCUAUCCUUUUUGUCAGUGUAAAUUUAUAUGGGGUCUUUGUGAGGAUUUUGACGGAAAGGGCACAGAGGAAGGCAUUCCUUCAGGCCAGGAACUGCAUAGAGGACAGGCUGAAGCUGGAGGAUGAAAAUGAAAAACAGGAGCGACUCCUGAUGAGCCUUUUGCCCAGGAAUGUUGCCAUGGAAAUGAAGGAAGAUUUUCUAAAGCCACCUGAAAGGAUUUUCCAUAAGAUUUACAUUCAGAGGCAUGAUAAUGUUAGUAUAUUGUUUGCAGACAUCGUGGGAUUUACCAGCCUGGCAUCACAAUGUACUGCUCAAGAAUUGGUGAAACUUCUAAAUGAACUCUUUGGGAAGUUUGAUGAAUUAGCUACAGAAAACCACUGCAGAAGGAUAAAAAUCCUAGGGGACUGUUACUACUGUGUAUCAGGACUGACGCAGCCCAAAACAGAUCAUGCCCACUGCUGCGUCGAAAUGGGAUUGGAUAUGAUUGACACCAUCACAUCUGUAGCUGAAGCCACUGAAGUAGAUCUCAAUAUGCGGGUUGGCCUGCACACAGGAAGAGUGCUUUGUGGUGUUCUGGGUCUUCGCAAAUGGCAGUAUGAUGUUUGGUCAAAUGAUGUGACUCUUGCUAAUGUAAUGGAGGCUGGAGGAUUGCCUGGGAAAGUGCAUAUAACAAAGACCACCUUAGAGUGCCUGAAUGGUGACUAUGAGGUAGAACCAGGGCAUGGCCAUGAAAGGAACAGUUUCUUAAAGAAGCAUAAUAUUGAAACCUUUUUCAUUGUGCCAUCUCACCGGAGAAAGAUAUUUCCUGGGCUGAUCCUGUCAGACAUAAAGCCUGCCAAAAGAAUGAAGUUCAAGACUGUCUGUUACCUGUUGGUGCAACUCAUGCAUUGUCGCAAAAUGUUCAAAGCUGAGAUCCCUUUCUCCAAUGUCAUGACGUGUGAAGAUGAUGACAAGAGGAGGGCAUUAAGGACAGCCUCUGAAAAACUCAGGAAUCGUUCCUCAUUUUCUACAAACGUUGUAUACAACACUCCUGGAACUCGAGUGAACCGUUACAUUAGCCGUUUAAUAGAGGCCCGACAAACUGAGUCAGAGAUGGCAGACCUAAACUUUUUUACCCUGAGGUAUAAACAGAUUGAACGUGAGCAAAAAUAUCACCAAGUUCAGGAUGAAUAUUUCACCAGUGCUGUAGUCUUGUCACUGAUUCUAGCUGCCUUAUUUGGCCUUGUCUACCUUUUAAUAAUCCCACAGAGUACCAUAGUUCUUGUCCUCUUGGUGUUCUGCAUAUGCUUCCUGGUGGCAUGUAUAAUGUAUCUCCAUGUCACUCGAGUACAAUGUUUUCCAGGGUGCCUGACAAUACAAAUUCGUACCAUUUUAUGUGUUUUUAUUGUGAUCUUAAUUUACUCAGUGGCACAAGGCUGUGUGGUUGGUUGUAUGCCUUGGGUCUGGAGUAACAAUUCCAGCAGUUCCAUAGUUAUCAUUUCUCCUGGUGGGACCAAUAAGACAAUGAAUGAACUUCCAUGCGAUGCAGCCCAUUAUGCAUUUCUCUCCUGUGUUGUGGGGACUCUGACCCUGGCAAUAUUUUUACGUGUAUCCUCCUUGCCAAAAAUGAUCCUCCUGCUUUUUGUUACAAUUUUGUACAUAGUCAUUUUGGAACUCAGCGGAUAUCGAAAAGCAGUGGGGGGUGAUUCCUUUUAUAUACGUGGCUAUGAACCCAUAUUAGCCAUCUUGCUGUUUUCUUGUGCUUUGGCCCUUCAUUCCAGGCAAGUGGAUUUGAAGCUACGUCUAGACUACCUCUGGGCUGUGCAGGCAGAAGAAGAGCGAGAUGAUAUGGAAAGAGUGAAACUGGAUAACAAAAGAAUUCUCUUCAAUCUGUUACCAGCACAUGUUGCUCAGCAUUUUCUCAUGUCUAAUCCAAGGAAUAUGGACCUAUAUUACCAGUCAUAUUCACAAGUGGGAGUGAUGUUUGCUUCCAUUCCAAAUUUCAACGAUUUUUACAUUGAACUGGAUGGCAAUAACAUGGGAGUGGAGUGUUUACGUCUGUUAAAUGAAAUUAUUGCAGAUUUUGAUGAGCUUAUGGACAAAGAAUAUUAUAAAGACAUAGAAAAAAUCAAGACAAUCGGCAGCACAUAUAUGGCAGCAGUGGGACUUGUACCAACUACAGGCACCAAGGCAAAGAAAUCAAUUUAUUCCCAUCUCAGUACACUGGCUGAUUUUGCAAUAGAAAUGUUUGAUGUUCUUGACGAAAUCAACUAUCAGUCUUACAAUGACUUUGUUCUUCGGGUUGGUAUUAAUGUGGGCCCUGUAGUAGCAGGAGUUAUUGGUGCCAGAAGACCACAGUAUGACAUCUGGGGUAACACUGUAAAUGUUGCUAGCAGAAUGGAUAGUACUGGAGUACAAGGUAAAAUUCAGGUUACAGAAGAAGUCCAGCGAAUAUUGAAGAGGUGUAAUUAUGAGUUUGUGUGUCGGGGUAAAGUCAGUGUCAAAGGCAAAGGUGAAAUGCUGACCUAUUUUCUUGAAGGAAAGGCCAAUGGAAAUAAUUCACAAACUCGAUCUUUAAACUUAGAGAGAAAAAUGUACCCUUUCGGGCGAGCAAACAUUCAGACCAAAUUGGGCACAAGUUGUUUAUCUUUAUCCUCAUCCCCCAGCCUUUCAGCAAAUGCUGGAGCUGGAACACUUCAAGUAUCAUCAGCACAUACUAAUCAGACGCUCCAUUAUCUUCCUUCUGUGCCAGCCAUAAAGGAGGCAUGAGAGCAAUGAAAAUGUUGGUUGUACCAUGUGCUAUGAAUUUGGAAAGCAGAGAUCGCUUGAAUUUUCACCAGGAAGGUUAAUGCUACCGGAUUUGGUAUCAACCAGGAUGUCUACAACCCAACCAAAGAGAACUUGGGAACUGCAUUUACAAACUUAUGGAAUGGAUCAAAUAAGGGCUAGCAAUUCUGUUAGGAAAAGUCUACUACUGAUUUUCUGAAAAUAAGAAAUAUUUUAUCAGCAAUUUUAAAUGUUCAAGCACUAAGAAUGAUCUUGGUAUAGCUCCACAGUGGACCUGGUUCUCUCCUACAGUGCAUGUUUUACAUGUGCAUGAAGAUGAUAAACCCUUUGGAAAUGGAUGUCCUUUUGCUUCUCGUCUGCAAUCUACUGCAUGCCACACAUGCCUGACUUCAGUAAAAACAAAAACAAAAAACAAAGCAACAAAAAAAGAGUAAGUUUCUUUCUAUAUGUUUUUGACAUAUCACAUUUGACACAGAGUUUUAAAGGCACUACCAGUUGCAUGUGCAUACUACAAAAGCAAAAUUUCAAAGCAACACCACAAUAAAAAAUUAACCUGUAAUGUUCUGCCAACCUCAAUGUUGCUAUGUCCACAUUAUGUGGUAUAUGAAAUGUGCCCUUGACAUCUAUGCUACCUUAAUAACAGUACCUUUGGUCAUUAGAAGCAAUAAAUUAAACUCCACAUACUGUAAUAUAUAUAAAUACAUAUAUAUUUUAAAAUAUGAGUGGAAAUAGUAGUGGUGUAAAACCAAGUCUACCAAUUCACUAGGUACUGUUUAAUACCCUGUUUGACGUAACAGUAUAAGUAAAUGUUUUGGAAAGGGGAUGGCUCUGUAAAUCCCAAAAUGCCAGAGCACAAGAUUUCCCCUGUAGACAUGAUCAUAUGAAGCUGCUUUAGACUGGCGGCAGUUCUCCAAGGUCUCAAGCACAGGUCUUUCCCAAUCCUGCUGCCUGAGUCUUUGCAGGCAUUAAUGAGAAGCUGCCCUAUCCUAAGUCAGACCGUUGGUUGGUUCAUUUGGCUCAGUACUGUCUCAUUUGCUUGGCAGUAGUCUCAGGUCUUUCUUGGCCCUGCUGCCUGAGAUUAUCUGAAAAUGCCAGGGGAAAACCUGGAAAUUUAUGCAUGCAAAGCAUGUGCUCUACCACUGAGCUAUCAUCCUUUCCCACCACCCAUGAAAAGAUGAAAUAGUUUACUUAAAAAAGCAUUUACAUAUACUGAAGGAAAGACCUCAAGGUAGGAAGACCAAGAUGUCAUAGUAUCAAACUGUAACAAGGCAGAACUGCAUUGAAUAAAAGGGAGGAUUUGGUCCAGUAAAGUUACCCAGAUGGUAUUUUUUAUGUGAUAUCUAUUGUUAUUGUAUCUGAGAUAAACAGUAUAGAGAAAUGGCUUUCAUACAUUAUAUAUUUCUGAACAUGAUUUUUGUUCAAUAGCCUUAUUAUUUCAAUUCAUAUGGUUCCAAACAUGGUGGUACUGAAAAUAAAAUGCUAAGCUGAACUGUGGGGUUUAGAAAAUAAAUACAAAUUUUUCCUUUUGUCUUUUCUUCGGCUUUCUGAAAUUUUCUAAAUAAAUGUCAAAGCUGCAAUUUCAAUCAUGCUUCCAAGAAUGUAAGAUCCAGUGACCUCAGUAGGACUUACUUCCAAGUAGGCAUGUCCUAGGCCUAGGAUGUAACACCACCCCUACUGAUUCCUCUUCUCCAUCAGCUUUUGUGGUCCCUUCUGAAUCCAUAUACAUCAGAGGUGAGCAGUUUGUGGUUCUCCACCCUACAACUCCCAUAAUCUUUCACCAUAGGUUAUGCUGUCUAGGGCUGAUAGGUGUUGCAGACCAAAACAUCUGGAGGUCCACAACUUGCUCACUCAUGAUGUACACUGACAUAAUGGAGACAGAAUGUGAUUUCCUGACUGAGUUUGGUGUCCAACAUUUUAAAUUGCCAGAAAGAUUUUGAGCACUUAAAAGUAUUAUAUAAAUGCCAAUACUAUUUUUGUUAUGUCCCCAAAUGUCAAGUUGUAUUACACAACUUUAUUCAUAUUUGUUCCAUUUUAUCAUUUAUUAUAAAAAUAAACUGUAUGAUUUAUUAAAACUGCAAUAUUCUAAUGUUUCAAUUACUCUAAUAUGGAAACAAAAUGAAUUAGAAUAUCUGUAAUGUAAUGUGACCAGAACGGAAUUCAGAUGGAUGGCUUCUGCUUUGUGAGGCCAGAUAGUGUAAAGUUAGAAAACUGUACUCUUUGUUAUAAUUGAAGCUUAAAUUUUAAGCCCACUCUGUUACCUGACAGCAUGGUUAAUUAAUUUCUUCUUCCUCUUAUAAAUGAAGACAUACAUAAACAAACACAUGCCCUGGACCAUCAGAAAUUACCAAAUUUGUACAGUAGUUGCUUCAGUGCCCCAAUUAAAAGCUUUCCCAAGCUCAAAUGGCCAUGUUCUAGCAAUAUCACUUGUUUGGUUCUGACAACAGUUAAUGUUUCUGUCUUUUUCAUGCAUGUUUUCUGAUAGUCUUUCCAUUGUCAUUCCUGUUAGCCUUCUCUGGAGCAACAGUCUUCUGUAAUGUUCCUUCACAAAUAGUUUUUUUGUUUUGUUUUUAAUUCAAAGAAAAUGGUGAUACAACAGGGAAAGAAAGAUUACCUAAAGGUGCAGUCUGUACAGAUUCACCUUGGAGUAAACUCAUUUAACACAGUGGGCUUUGCUUCCGAGUAGGCACACAUUUGAUCGCAUUGCAAAAUUUUUAUUUUGAAAUCCACCAUGGUACAUGUACUUUUCAAGUGUGUUUUGCAGCCUAAUGUUUUCACAGCGUGAAGUUUCCACCUUAUGAAGGAAUCUGGGGCAUGAGCUUAUUGGUCAUGCGAUGCCAGAUGACCAACCAUUGCAGGUUAAUCAGCUGCUACAUAAAAGCCAUUUGUGGCAGAAUCGAAUGUAUCCUACCUACAUGUUUUAGUGCCUUGCAAAAUAUCUCAAAUACAAGGGAUCCUGGACUGGGGGUGGAGAAUCAAAAUGUGUACAGCAAAGUGAAGUACAAAAAUUGGCCUGGUACAGACAGUAUAGAAAGAAGGUGCUAAAAAGGAAGUGUAAGAAAAAGCAUAUAAAAGAGAAUAAAUUUAUAUGAUGAUAAAAAGCAUAUAAAAGAGAAUAAAUGUAUAAGAUGAUGAUAAAAAGCUGUAAUAGGCAUGUGAAAUUUACUUUUCCCCCAAAAAAUGAAAAUUAGGCAAAAAGUUGAGUAUAUGAAUAGUUAAGAGAAUUAAAGAUUUAUCUCAGAAGUCCUGAGCGAAUAUAGUGUAUAUUACCUACAGACCAAGAAACUGAGGUCUAGGGGAAGACAUAAAAGCUGCCACAAAAUCUCCAUUAUUUGUUUAUUUAUUGAGGGAUUUAUGUCUCACCCUCCUGUCAAAUUCCCAGGAUGGUUUUCAGAUGCGCAAAAUUCAAUGAAACAAAUUCAAAACCUAGAAAAAAACGUGAAAACAAGCCAAUAGGAGAUGCAUAAAAACAUUACUGAGCCAAUAUUCACUGAAUUAAGUGGUCUGAGAAAAUUAAAGGCUUUUUCUGAGAAUUACCCCCCUCAAUUUUAGCAAAAUGUAAGCUUCUCUGGGGUUGAGUAUUACACAGAUGGAUGCCACUACUGAGAAGGUUCUAUGAAGGGAACUUGGAGAAGGCCUCCUAUGAAUAUACAGUGGUACCUUGGCUCACGAACACCUCAGUUCACGACCAAAUCGGGUCACAAACAAAACAUUCAGAAAAAAAAUUGUCUCAGUUCAUGAACUCCACAUUGGGUGAUGACCACGAUCGCGGCCAUGUGGUCACAUGAACACAAUGACGAUCAUGGCCGUCUUCCCUGCAUAAGUGCAACCGUGAUCACAGCCAUCUCCCCCACCCCCGAGCAUGAUCGCUAUUGCACAAUUAUAGUUUGGGCUCUCCCUUCAAACAAUAACCUCUCCCCCACCUAGGUCACUGUUCUCUACUGUACUGUACUUUGUCAUGGAAUGGAUUAAGUUCAUGAGCCGAAGUACCACUGUACUGAUGUAUAGACAGAGACAUGUGGAAGCAGACGUUGGGAACAGAACAGUCCAUAGAAUAUUUUAAUCACGUUUACUCAACCUGAAGCUUUAACUCUAAAGUCAGAACGGACAUUAGCAGCUACUUUUUUCAUUUCUACUCAGGAGCAGACACAGGUUCCAGUCUGGAUUAGAACCUUAACAUGGCUUUAACCUUUACACACACAUUGUAUGCCUUGAAUUUUGAUUGCAAAAUAGUGAUCCAUAAUGGUUUAAAACAGUCUUGAAAGGAAUGUCUGUUUGGACCCUCCACAUGGCUGACACUUUCUGUGUGUCUGUCCAGGGUGAGCACUCUGAGAAUAGUGGUAGGAACCCCUGUCUGGUGAGAAGUAGAAUGCCAGCUGGUGCACUUGACAGAGGAGGGAGAGAAACGGGGGCAGAGUGGAGGGCAUCAGUGUGAGUUCUAAGAGAAGCACUAGAGAGGUCACUGUCGGCAUAGGGAUGAUGAAGACAUAUGCAACAGAUUCAAAUGAGUUCAGAUUUCUAUGACUCCAACCUGCAGAUACCACAGUGGACCAGCUUUUCUGAGUCAUGUGGAUUCCACAGGCUUGCAGAACAGUUACCGUAUUUUUCUGUCUAUAAGACGCCCCCAUGUAUAGGACACCCUCCACUUUUCCUACUGAUCUCCGAGCGAGCAAGCUAGCUGCUGCUACAUGCACUCCACCUCAUUGCCCCCCCUGCACACAUGCGCGAUCAUGCCAUUCUCCCCUCCCAGAGCACCCCUGUGUAUAAGAUGCCCCUCCAUUUUUAGUAAGUGUUUUUAAGAAAAAGUAUCAUCUUAUACAGGGGAAAAAUGGUAUUUACUUUUGCAGGCAAAUAAUGCAAAUUUGCUGCAACACUAAUGUUCAUUAGUACAAGCAGAACACAAUUUUUGUACAUCUCUAAAAAAGUGUGAAUGAAAAUUGAAACUCCCCCUUCUAUCCCAGCCUACAUCCAGCAUCAUGGAAAAGGUUCUCCUUUCUCUUUAAUCUUUGACUUCUCAGAAAUAGUCAACCAAAAGACUUGGUUUAGAUAUGAGGGAGAAGAAAGGCAGGUUGCUUGCCUGUAACUGUCAUUCUUCGAGUGGCCAUCUGUGCGUUCACACAUUAUGGGUGCUGCACCUGCGCAGUGCCUGCAGCUGGGAAAGAUUCAGAGAUUUAACAGUUUUGGCGAGAACUCCACAUCCUUCCCCCCGCAAUAGUAUAAAGGGCAGAGUGCCUGCCAUUUCCCCAGUUUACUGAAGACUGCCCAUUUGCCCCCGUGUGGAAUCGGUAAAAAACCUAAUUCACAGUAAAUGAGAGAUCAGAUAGAGAUGCUCAAGUAAGAAGCAUAUGAGAUACACCUAUACUAUAUAGGUAGAAGAACAAUGUGGAAGGAUAGACCAAAAUGAUACCUAUCAACCCAGUCACCGACACCAAGUGGGGCCAGUGGGUGGGUUGUGUGAAUGCACAGAUGGCCACUUGAAGAACAACAGUUACAGGUAAGCAACCUGCCUUUCUUCAUUGUGGCCUCUGUGCAUCAUACAUUAUGGGUGAUUAGUAAGCUUACCAUACCUGGAAGCGGGACGGUGUCGUCACUAAAGAACUGAGGAGAGGACUGCACGGCGAAAGAGCAGUUUUGUCUGGCAUGAACAUCUAGUCAGUAGUGUUUGGUCAACGGGCAAGGGGUAGUCCAGGUAGCCGCCUUGCAGAUGUCAUGCAUAGGGAUGCCAGCAGAAAGGGCAGAAGAAGCAACAACAGCCCCUGUGGAAUGCCCUUUAGGCAGCACAGGAAAGUCCAACUUGGAUAGACAAUAGGAGAAUUUGAUAGUUUGAACGAUCCACUUAGAGAGUCUCUGAGAAGUAAUCGGAGAUCCUUUGUCGUGUUCAGAAUAUUUGAUGAAAAGGCAUUUAGUCUUCCUGAAAGACUCAGUCUCGGAUUGAUAGAAUGCCAAACAGUGUUGGACAUCAAGUGAAUGUAGAGAACGUUCUAUCGACGUGGAGAGCAUAGGAAAGAAUGCUGGCAAGACGAUAUCUUGAUUGAUGUGGAAAGGCAAAGCAACCUUAGGAAGGAAGUCCGGGUCAGUACAGAGAACAACUUUCUCCUUGUGGAAGUUGAGAUAAGGUGGGUCAAUUUGUAAAGAGUUCGCUAGCCUUCCUGGCUGAAGUAAUGGCUAUAAGGAAAGCUGUCUUCCAGGAUAAAAGACAUAAGUCUGUAGUGGCUAGCAGUUCGAAUGGAGGCUUGGUGAGAGCCUGAAGAACCACUGAAAGACUCCAUGUUGAUACCACCGAGUGGACUGGUGGUUGGAGGUUCUGUAGUCCUUUUAAGAAGCAAUGAACAAGAAAAUGUGAAAACACUGAGGAGCUCGAUAAGGAGCAGCGAUGAUGUGAAACAGCGAUAUAAACUUGAAUAGAAGAAGGUUUAAGUCCAUUUUGGUGUACAGACAGGAGAAAUUGUAAAAUGUUCUCAAUUGAGGCUGAGUGAGGAAUAAAUUGGUAGGUUAACAUGAAUGAAGUAAAGCAUUUCCAUUUACCUUCAUAGGAGCAUCGAGUAGCUGGUCUUAGAGCAGAUUAAAGAAUAAACUGUAUGGCAGGAUGGAAAAUGCCCGGAUUCGAUGAAGAACUAGGAACCAAUGUUGAAACCGAUGGUACGGCUGUGGUGGAGGGCUGCUGAAGAGGUGUCGAAUCCAACAGAUUUGUCAGUGUUGAUGAGACAGCAUUAGUUAUCAAAUGAGCCAGGCCAUAAGGUUCAGAGAAUGUAGAUCUGGAUGUUGAAUGGCGCCACUUUGUUGAGUGAGAAGAUGUGGAAUCUACAGAAGACGAAGGAAAGUCUUGGAGAGAAUGGUGGGAAACCACGGUUGGCGGGGCCACCAAGGUGUUAUGAGAAUCCCUGGAGGAUGAAUCAGCCAGAGAAGGAGGAGGUCUAGAUAGCACAGCUGCUGAUGUCGAGGGAACAUCUUUCAGGACCAGAUGUGGUAUGGAGUGAUGCGGGAGUAUGGAAGGCCUGGGGUAGUAUCCGUGUGGUGGGUAGUAGUCCCAUGGGAUGGAUCGAAAUCGCCAUAGGACAUAGGCACCCAGCUCCUCGAAGGCUGUCUUGGAGUGUGCUGUUGCUGGUGGAUCUGUGACCGAGGCUGGGCCCUUGGACAAGCCUCAGGAGAAGCCAGCAUCAGAGUUGGAGAGCACGCUGAUGGUAGUCCAGUCAGAGAUCGAGGUGGCGAGUCCUGAAUCUCACCAUCAGACAUGGAACUGUGAACAACAGCCUCCGAGCGGUCCAGAGUAGGUGGAGCUGGGAGGCAGAUCCUCUGAGGGGACCCUGGUGGGGUCACCUGCACGACGGACUGUACAUGUGAACUGGUCGGUGUCGUAAUCAAGAUGGCGGUUGGUACCGAUGGCAUGGUCAUACCUGAGUCUCUCUGUGGUGGCUUAGCAAACUUUUUCUGCUUACGAUCCUACUUACCAGCCUUGUUCUUUUUAGCUUUUUUGGGAGCCGAAGGCUCAUUGGAUCCAGUAUGCUUCCUCUUCUCCUUCUGCUUAUGGUGAGGAGAAUGAGAGGAGUGUUUAGCCUCCAUAGGAGUCCUACCAUCAGCCAAUGGACGAAGAGGAGGAGCGGUCAUAGAUGGGCCCACCAGCAUGGUCUCAGCCGCAAGCUGUCAGAUGCGACCAAGGCCUGGUCCCACAGAAUCUUCCAUAGGCGGUUCUCACGAUUCUUACAGGCCUGCCUCAUGAAAGACUGGCAAUGGCCAAACUUAUCAGUCCUGUGUCCUUCCUUCCCCCAAGCAAAGAAGGCACAGGUCGUGUGGAUCAGUGGGGGACAUUUUAGCUCCACACUUGGAGCACUUGCGGAAAGCUGCUUGCUGAACCAUCAAAGAAAAAGAAGAGGAUAGUGAGGGAGAGAGAAAAACGCACAAGAUUAACGAUAGACGGGUUUUUUUAAAACAAAUUUUAAUGGGGAAAGGGGAAGGGAAAAGGGGAAGAAAAACUUUCUAGAAAUGGGGGGAUUAGGUGGUUAUAACUUGGAAAGGAGAUAGUAACAAGAAAGAUAAACAGCAAAUGAAAGUCUAUAGAAAAGGCAAGUAUAGCUACGAGAGACAAUGAAAGGCUCGAGGCACAGCGAAUGGCAGUCACAAGAAGACUGGGAGUUCCUGCCAAAAUCGUUAAAGCUUGACUCUUUCCUGGCUUUAGGCACAGCGCAGGCACAGCACCCAUAAUGUGUGAAUGCACAGAUGGCCACGAUGAAGAAGAUGGGUCUUUCCAAUCACAGCCAAUCUGUUAAGGCUAGCAGUUUGAGGCUUUUUAACUGUCUUCAUCACACACUAUGACCCUACUUUCAGUGAGAAAUCAAACAUACCUUCCAAUUCUAUUUAAAUGUAGCUUUCAGAGAGAGAGAAAAAGUUUUAAAGGUAAAUUACGAAUGCUUUAUUAUGGCACAUUGUUAGUGGUCCACAAGCUCCAUUCCACAACAUGUCCAACAACAUGAAGCUGUUUGAACUAUCAAACAAGGCCUUGGCCUACAGCUUGUGAUUUUAAUAAUAUAGUGCUGGUUUUGACAAUGGUCCCAGCACUGAAGGGAAAAAAAGAUGUUCAGCUAGCUAUGAGUUCCAUACAUGAUAAAAUAGUAUCAAUAUGGAUCUAAAACAGCAUUAUUUCUUCAAAAAAAAAAAGCAUUGUUAUAUAGACCAGCAAAUGCUAAAUAAUUUUCAAGAGGGGAAAAACAGUUUGAGAACCACUUUGUUCCAUCUUCAAAGGAAUCUUUGUGGCUGCUGUUUCCAUGUGGCCAUGUCACUUCAAUAACAUUUGGAAUAUGGAGAGGCAGUUAGCCCCUUUCUGCACAACCAGCAUCAGACAUAGAUUUCAUAGAAUGGUAGAGUUGGAAUGGGCCAUGAAGGCCAUCAGGUCCAACCCCCUGCUGUUGCAGGACACCAAUUUACUUCACCCCACAUGGUGGUGGAAUUUAAAGGAAAUAAUUGCACCAAUCUUUCCUCGGGGUGGCUUCCCUAUUUCAAAUGUUUUUUUUUUAAUUUCUAAAAUGUAUAUCUCAGUCUAAUGGCUAAUCAGCAUUCCCACUGCAGCUGGAAAUGUUGCAGAAGCAGUGAAAAAUGUGACCACCUUGAAAACAGCAACCAUAUAGCUAGGAGCCAGCUUAUACAUUUGGCAAAACUAAACCAAGCAGCAAAGCUUCCCUGGAAUGUAUUCUGUUUGAAUGCUGUAUCCUUCGCAACCAGGGAAGGGGGGAUGUGUGUGGAAUGGGACAUGGAAAACAGCAUAACAAAGAGAAGCCUAGCCUGACUGCUACUCCUUGAAGUGAUCGUUUUCUUUGUGCAGAGACAUUUUUAGAUGGGAAGUUGCCCCUUUCUCUCCUGCUACCUGUUGUAGUGCAGCCCAAGAACAACAGAAACUGGGCUUGUGGUCAGGUAGGAAGAACACCUUCCUGUAAUGAUGUUCCCAUUCUGCUUAGUUUUUAUUAAAAUUCAGCAAGACAUUAAAGUUCAGCAACUGGUUCAAUGCCCCCUGUACAUCUACAGCACUGAUCCUAAUCAGUCUGGAUCAGACCAUAUACUCUAACUGCCUCUGAAUUUUAAUGUAUGAGAAUUGCUAUUGAAUUAAUUAUUGUAAGAUGUUCUGUAGGGGACAGGAUAGAAAAGCUUUUAAUUAAUUAAUUUCAAUGAUCUGUGAAUCUGGUCCAUUAUGUUACAAAUGUCCUAAUAGAAAGAACAUUUUCUGCUUUAGAAUUAAACUAGAUGAAACCCAGUUGCAUAUUAUCUUUUCCUCAUCCUUUUUUUAAAAUAAAAUGCAUCUUAGAGAGGCUGUGAGUUUAAGUGGAUGAAUAGACCAAAAUAAGGGCUGUCUAACCCCUUCCUCAUGGCAGUCUUUCCACUCAAAAUUGCACUCUCAAAGCUGGAUUUGAAGAUCGUGAGGGAAAGAUGCAUGCAACUCUUUGGGUUUUGAGAAAGGGACUACCACAGGCAAUGCAUAAUAUAUUAUCUUCAGUCUUACAAUAACAUAACACACUGGGUAACUUGGAAUGAAAAUUUUGCAUAAAUAAUACGGGUCUAUUUUUAUGUACAUAGAAUAUUGUAGAAUAUCUUCCAGUCUUUUUCUUUCUUUCUUUUUCUCUUUUUUUUUUUUUUUUUGAGAUUGUUGAAUUGAAAAGAGCAAUUGAAUAUUUGUCCUAUUUUUAUGUUUGGGGGGAAAAGUGAAUGGACUGAAAUGUUAAACUUGUGAAUGUAAAUUUCUUACUGCAACUUUUAUACUGAGUGUUUGCACUAUUAUCAUUUCUGGAGUCUAAUUAAUAAAGGAAACAAUCUGCUUGAGUAAA